AGCAGUCGCCACGGGAAUACGUAGGUGGCAAGCGUUGUCCGGAAUUAUUGGGCGUAAAGGGCUCGCAGGCGGUUUCUUAAGUCUGAUGUGAAAGCCCCCGGCUCAACCGGGGAGGGUCAUUGGAAACUGGGAAACUUGAGUGCAGAAGAGGAGAGUGGAAUUCCACGUGUAGCGGUGAAAUGCGUAGAGAUGUGGAGGAACACCAGUGGCGAAGGCGACUCACUGGACCAUUUCUGACGCUGAUGCACGAAAGCUAGGGGAGCAAACAGGAUUAGAUACCCCCGUAGUCCCUGUCUCUUAUAA
RNAcentral lists this ribosomal RNA (303 nucleotides) under uncultured bacterium. Its description in RNAcentral is "partial 16S ribosomal RNA". It matches the Rfam family "Bacterial small subunit ribosomal RNA", at positions 507 to 809 of the family's 1533-position model. The record is from RNAcentral.